This 125-nucleotide small RNA is filed under the name Marmota monax (woodchuck). Lineage: Eukaryota; Metazoa; Chordata; Mammalia; Rodentia; Sciuridae. The record is from RNAcentral.
GCCGGGUGAGGUGGCACAUGCCUGUAAUCCCAGCAACAUGGGAGGCUGAGGCAGGAGGACUGUGAGUUUAAAGCCAGCCUCAGCAAAAGCGAGAUGCUAAGCAACUCAGUGAUACCCUGUCUCUG